This 1321-nucleotide long non-coding RNA is filed under the name Heterocephalus glaber (naked mole-rat). Its description in RNAcentral is "lncRNA (ENSHGLG00000036412.1)". Lineage: Eukaryota; Metazoa; Chordata; Mammalia; Rodentia; Bathyergidae. The record is from RNAcentral.
UUAAAGCUAAGAGGAGUUUAUUCACGUGCGUGGACCCCACCCUCUAGGAGAAGUGAAGCCCAGAAGCAGGGCACAGCACGGCUUUCAUAGGUAACUCAAAGAAGUUCAGGGAGAGGCCACUAUGUCCUUCAGCCAGCUGCAAAAUAUCUUUCACAACCCAGCUCUUUUUCAACCCAGCUAUCUUGUGAAGACAGGAUAUUCUGUGGCUGCAGGGUUCGGCGGUUACAGGGAGGCACCAGACACCAUCUGUUCCCGGGGAGCGAUAGGGCGCGUUUACAGGAGCACAGCGAGCGAGCAGCUGUCCAGUGGGGAGUUCCAGCACUCUCUGCUCACCUCAAAGCCUGCCAUCAGACGCUGGGCCAGGGAAGGCAUCGUGUCCAGAGGAGGAAGGCCAGGCCGAAGCAAGGAGGCCGCCAACACUCUCUCUGGUUGGCAGGCCAGUUGGAGAACUGGUCACCUACAGCCUCUGCCGCACUCAGCCGGAGAGGGACACUUCCUGGGAGCAGCCGUGUCCACGCAGCCAGGGCUUCAGCCAAGUGCUCAGCACCCAGGAGCCCCGAGGGGAGGCAGAGCCCUGGACAAACCUCCUCCUGAGUUGAGAGCAUCAUUCCCUUUGGGGAGCCUUCCUUGGACCUCAUCCAUUGACAGUAACUGGCAAGGUGGGAGAGUUGUGUUACUGGGAUUUACUAGGUAGAAGCCAGGUAUGCUCAACUUCCUACAAUUAUGAUAUUUGUAAUACGUAAAAAUACAGGUCCUGAUAGGAUCAUAAGAUGAGAUAAUGGAUUUCCUAAUUACCAGAAAUUCAAUUUUACCUGUAUUUUACCUCAGGCAAAAAUGUUCAGUUUGGAGGUUGAGAGACCCUGCCAAACAGUAGUGGUCUUUAAGCCCUAAUUUACAUCACAGCCAUCUCCAGGGCUUGUAAGGCACAGAUUUUGACCUGUCCGUAGAUUUUUUAAUUUUUCCUCCUUUUCCUUCUUCUUUUUUUUGCUCCUGUUGCUGGGGCUUGAGCCCGGGGACUCACCACGUUGGCAAAGCACUUUACCACUGAGUCACAUCCCUGCACACCCUAGCCCUGUUUCAGAUUUCGGAGUUCUGGGGUGAUUCCCAGGAUUUGCAUUUCCCCUUGAUUGCAGCUGCUAGUUUCGGGGCACACGUGAGAAGCACGCCCCUGAACUUCUAGCAGGGGCUGUCGCUACCACCGGCUGGGGCACUUCCGAGUCAGGGCCACCAGCCUCGGAGUACUUCCGGGUCCCUCUAGGCGCCCGGAGGUCCCGGCGUCUCCACGGCGGCCCCGGCCGGGGUGUGGCCAGGCGGGGGCGUG